This 392-nucleotide long non-coding RNA is filed under the name Mus musculus (house mouse). Its description in RNAcentral is "predicted gene, 49964". The record is from RNAcentral. Lineage: Eukaryota; Metazoa; Chordata; Mammalia; Rodentia; Muridae.
AGGGGUGCUACUCAGAAAGAGAGAGAUGGUGUGGAUGUGGGCCUACAGCAAAAUAACAAUUAUUUUGGAGUUUGCUUUUUCAGGUUUACAGAAUCUUCAGUUACCAGUCUCCAGUGAUCAAGGGCAUCUUCCAGCAUGGCUCUUCGAGGUGGCCCUUCCCCAAAGAACCUUUACAUCCUGUCGCAUGCAAGAAGUGUAGCAACUGUGCAAGUUUCUGAAAAAGCACUUUCUAACCUUGGGAUCCUGGGUGAGGACGGCGUCCUCUGCUGCCUGAUUGGUGUGUCACUCUGAUGGUCUGAGUCUGCAGAAGGCCCACACUUCCAUGUCAGAGCUGUGGGCGUCUGGGUGACAUCAUCCUUAUUCCGAAAGGCAGAAUCCAGUGGCGCAGAGAC